This 301-nucleotide ribosomal RNA is filed under the name uncultured bacterium. Its description in RNAcentral is "partial 16S ribosomal RNA". It matches the Rfam family "Bacterial small subunit ribosomal RNA", at positions 509 to 807 of the family's 1533-position model. The record is from RNAcentral.
CAGUCGCCGCGGGAAUACGUAGGUGGCAAGCGUUGUCCGGAAUUAUUGGGCGUAAAGGGCUCGCAGGCGGUUUCUUAAGUCUGAUGUGAAAGCCCCCGGCUCAACCGGGGAGGGUCAUUGGAAACUGGGAAACUUGAGUGCAGAAGAGGAGAGUGGAAUUCCACGUGUAGCGGUGAAAUGCGUAGAGAUGUGGAGGAACACCAGAGGCGAAGGCGACUCUCUGGUCUGUAACUGACGCUGAGGAGCGAAAGCGUGGGGAGCGAACAGGAUUAGAUACCCCAGUAGUCCCUGUCUCUUAUAC